This 439-nucleotide ribosomal RNA is filed under the name uncultured bacterium. RNAcentral describes it as "partial 16S ribosomal RNA". It matches the Rfam family "Bacterial small subunit ribosomal RNA", at positions 339 to 795 of the family's 1533-position model. The record is from RNAcentral.
CUACGGGCGGCUCCAGUGGGGAAUAUUGCACAAUGGGGGAAACCCUGAUGCAGCGGCGCCGCGUGAAGGAAGAAGUAUUUCGGUAUGUAAACUUCUAUCAGCAGGGAAGAAAAUGACGGUACCUGACUAAGAAGCCCCGGCUAACUACGUGCCAGCAGCCGCGGUAAUACGUAGGGGGCAAGCGUUAUCCGGAUUUACUGGGUGUAAAGGGAGCGUAGGCGGCAUGGUAAGUCUGGUGUGAAAGGCAGGGGCUCAACCCCUGGACUGCAUUGGAAACUAUCAAGCUAGAGUGCCGGAGAGGUAAGUGGAAUUCCUAGUGUAGCGGUGAAAUGCGUAGAUAUUAGGAGGAACACCAGUGGCGAAGGCGGCUUACUGGACGGUAACUGACGCUGAGGCUCGAAAGCGUGGGGAGCAAACAGGAUUAGAUACCCCAGUAGUC